This 77-nucleotide transfer RNA is filed under the name Clostridia bacterium. RNAcentral describes it as "tRNA-Met". It matches the Rfam family "tRNA". Rfam says of the family: Transfer RNA (tRNA) molecules are approximately 80 nucleotides in length. Their secondary structure includes four short double-helical elements and three loops (D, anti-codon, and T loops). Further hydrogen bonds mediate the characteristic L-shaped molecular structure. tRNAs have two regions of fundamental functional importance: the anti-codon, which is responsible for specific mRNA codon recognition, and the 3' end, to which the tRNAs corresponding amino acid is attached (by aminoacyl-tRNA synthetases). tRNAs cope with the degeneracy of the genetic code in two manners: having more than one tRNA (with a specific anti-codon) for a particular amino acid; and 'wobble' base-pairing, i.e. permitting non-standard base-pairing at the 3rd anti-codon position. Lineage: Bacteria; Bacillati; Bacillota; Clostridia. The record is from RNAcentral.
GGCGGUAUGGCUUAGCGGUCUAUAGCGAUCGGUUCAUACCCGAUAGGUCGGUGGUUCAAAUCCACCUACCGCCACCA